UCGCUCGUAGUGUAAUCCGGCCGCACGGCUGGUUCUGGUCCAGCAAAUCCAGGUUCGAAUCCUGGCGAGCGAA
RNAcentral lists this transfer RNA (73 nucleotides) under Nocardia farcinica IFM 10152. Its description in RNAcentral is "tRNA-Gln (CTG) (tRNA-Gln-CTG-2-1)". It matches the Rfam family "tRNA". From Rfam's summary of the family: Transfer RNA (tRNA) molecules are approximately 80 nucleotides in length. Their secondary structure includes four short double-helical elements and three loops (D, anti-codon, and T loops). The record is from Rfam by way of RNAcentral. Lineage: Bacteria; Bacillati; Actinomycetota; Actinomycetes; Mycobacteriales; Nocardiaceae.